Non-coding RNA from Paramuricea clavata, 836 nucleotides. The record is from the annotation of a GenBank genome assembly. Lineage: Eukaryota; Metazoa; Cnidaria; Anthozoa; Malacalcyonacea; Plexauridae.
CGUUAUGGAGUUAUCGUCAGGGCCGAACUAACAAAGCUUAAUAAUAUAAAAUCUUAAAAAAACUAUGUUAAUUAAUCCAUCCCUGAAUUGGAAACCAAAAUUUCAUAUGGUGUGUAGGUAACAAUUGCAAGUGGAAGUAAUAGUUGAAACAACCUAUUUUCCCUCAUGCAUAUAUAACUUGAUGUGGUACGAGGGUAGCUAAACUAACAAUAACGAGGAGCCAAGCAUGUCAAUUUCGUUUGAAAACAAAGUUGUCUAUGACGUCAUAAAGACCCAAUACUUUAUUAUUUUGUUUGAUAAUUGCCAAGGAUUUCACACAUAAUCCCCUCCCCCAUUACCCCCAAGUGAAUCCAUCCCACUACUACACAAGAUAGUACUUCUUUCCCUCUGAGUUAACAAUGAAAGCAUAUUUUUUACAGAUCUCUGCAAUAUUAUGUUUACAAGUUCCUUGAAGAUAUGAUUAUAAUAAAUGGUGACAGAUGUCUGUACAUUGUAGAGUAUUUUGUACAUAUUUUGUACUUACUGAGGCCAAAUAAAAAUAAUAGUUGGUUUCAGGUUUCACAGCCAUGUUUUAUAUGGGUAGGUAGGUCAGAAAAGCAUUUUAUUUAAAAAAUAUUUUAUCUCAAGUAUGCAAUAAAUAUAAGUUGUUUAUGAGUAACUGUCACACAUAAUCAGACAUGCCACGCGGGAUCACCCGCGAGCUACACAUGUUUUGCGAGAAACAAACGCAUCAAGGAUUAACAUGACUAGAUAAUGAUUAAAUUAUGAGCAAACAAAAUAAUUUGUAGCAAAUGAGUCUGAUGACUAUUUAUAUAUUCUGAUAUUUACGAAAAGAU